RNAcentral lists this ribosomal RNA (1340 nucleotides) under uncultured bacterium. RNAcentral describes it as "16S ribosomal RNA". It matches the Rfam family "Bacterial small subunit ribosomal RNA", at positions 34 to 1381 of the family's 1533-position model. The record is from RNAcentral.
CGCUGGCGGCGUGCUUAACACAUGCAAGUCGAACGAUGAAGCCUAGCUUGCUAGGUGGAUUAGUGGCGAACGGGUGAGUAAUACGUGAGUAACCUACCUUUAACUCUGGGAUAAGCCUGGGAAACUGGGUCUAAUACCGGAUACGACCAAUCUCCGCAUGGGGUGUUGGUGGAAAGCGUUAUGUAGUGGUUAUAGAUGGGCUCACGGCCUAUCAGCUUGUUGGUGAGGUAACGGCUCACCAAGGCGACGACGGGUAGCCGGCCUGAGAGGGUGACCGGCCACACUGGGACUGAGACACGGCCCAGACUCCUACGGGAGGCAGCAGUGGGGAAUAUUGCACAAUGGGCGCAGGCCUGAUGCAGCGACGCCGCGUGAGGGAUGACGGCCUUCGGGUUGUAAACCUCUGUUAGCAGGGAAGAAGAGAAAUUGACGGUACCUGCAGAGAAAGCGCCGGCUAACUACGUGCCAGCAGCCGCGGUAAUACGUAGGGCGCGAGCGUUGUCCGGAAUUAUUGGGCGUAAAGAGCUUGUGGCGGUUUGUCGCGUCUGCUGUGAAGGCCGGGGCUUAACCCCGUGUAUUGCAGUGGGUACGGGCAGACUAGAGUGCAGUAGGGGAGACUGGAACUCCUGGUGUAGCGGUGGAAUGCGCAGAUAUCAGGAAGAACACCGAUGGCGAAGGCAGGUCUCUGGGCUGUAACUGACGCUGAGAAGCGAAAGCAUGGGGAGCGAACAGGAUUAGAUACCCUGGUAGUCCAUGCCGUAAACGUUGGGCACUAGGUGUGGGGGACAUUCCACGUUUUCCGCGCCGUAGCUAACGCAUUAAGUGCCCCGCCUGGGGAGUACGGCCGCAAGGCUAAAACUCAAAGAAAUUGACGGGGGCCCGCACAAGCGGCGGAGCAUGCGGAUUAAUUCGAUGCAACGCGAAGAACCUUACCAAGGCUUGACAUAUACUGGACCGCAUCAGAGAUGGUGUUUCCCUUCGGGGCUGGUAUACAGGUGGUGCAUGGUCGUCGUCAGCUCGUGUCGUGAGAUGUUGGGUUAAGUCCCGCAACGAGCGCAACCCUCGUUCUAUGUUGCCAGCACGUUAUGGUGGGGACUCAUAGGAGACUGCCGGGGUCAACUCGGAGGAAGGUGGGGAUGACGUCAAAUCAUCAUGCCCCUUAUGUCUUGGGCUUCACGCAUGCUACAAUGGCCGGUACAGAGGGUUGCGAUACUGUGAGGUGGAGCUAAUCCCUAAAAGCCGGUCUCAGUUCGGAUUGGGGUCUGCAACUCGACCCCAUGAAGUCGGAGUCGCUAGUAAUCGCAGAUCAGCAACGCUGCGGUGAAUACGUUCCCGGGCCU